AGAGUUUGAUCCUGGCUCAGAUUGAACGCUGGCGGCGUGCUUAACACAUGCAAGUCGUGCGAGAAAGGGGACUUCGGUCCCUGAGUAGAGCGGCGCACGGGUGAGUAACGCGUGGAUAAUCUACCCAGAUGUUCGGGAUAACGGUGGGAAACUGCCGCUAAUACCGGAUACGAUCCAAUUUCGGUUGGAUGAAAGGCGGCCUCUGCUUGCAAGCUGUCGCAUCUGGAUGAGUCCGCGUCCCAUUAGCUUGUUGGUGGGGUAAUGGCCUACCAAGGCUACGAUGGGUAACUGGUCUGAGAGGAUGAUCAGUCACACUGGAACUGAAACACGGUCCAGACUCCUACGGGAGGCAGCAGUGGGGAAUAUUGCGCAAUGGGGGAAACCCUGACGCAGCGACGCCGUGUGAGGGAAGAAGGCUUUCGGG
RNAcentral lists this ribosomal RNA (424 nucleotides) under uncultured bacterium. RNAcentral describes it as "bacterial SSU rRNA". It matches the Rfam family "Bacterial small subunit ribosomal RNA", at positions 8 to 422 of the family's 1533-position model. The record is from RNAcentral.